Molecule: ribosomal RNA, 253 nt
Filed under: uncultured bacterium
Lineage: Bacteria
Description: partial 16S ribosomal RNA
Rfam family: Bacterial small subunit ribosomal RNA
Source: RNAcentral
UACGUAGGGUGCGAGCGUUGAUCGGAAGUACUGGGCGUAAAGCGUGCGCAGGCGGUUAUGUAAGACAGGGGUGAAAACCCCGGGCUCAACCUGGGAACUGCCUUUGUGACUGCAUGACUAGAGUACGGCAGAGGGGGAUGGAAUUGCGCGUGUAGCAGUGAAAUGCGUAGAUAUGCGGAGGAACACCGAUGGCGAAGGCAAUCCCCUGGGCGUGUACUGACGGUCAUGCACGAAAGCGUUGGGAGCAAACAGG